This is a long non-coding RNA of Cololabis saira (Pacific saury), 542 nucleotides long. RefSeq lists it as uncharacterized. NCBI's taxonomy places the organism in Eukaryota, Metazoa, Chordata, Actinopteri, Beloniformes, Belonidae. The transcript has 3 exons. The record is from RefSeq and is a predicted model, not a curated record.
CAACUAACAAAACCUCAUUAGUUGGUUUGAUUUAUAUAAAAAGAGGUGUAAUUAGAAGCAACACUAGAUGGCAGCACACGUUACAUGCAAUCCCAACGUCUCAGAUGUGACGUCAUCGCAUGCGCUCUCUCUUUUUGACGCGACGUUGAUGAGGACAGAAGCAACCAGCAGACGUUGAGAAAUAUAAACUCAUAAAACAGUAUUAAACAGUAUUAAACUAACAAAACGUUACACCAGCUGUUGUUAGCUGUGUGUUAGUUGAGUUAGGGGGUGAACCCAGCAGCAGUUGGUGAAUGAAAACCAAGUUAUCCCACUCGGCAGGCCAAACCCCCUUGUGAGUGUGUCCAGACGUCGUCGUUGCUAGAGCAUUGGAUGUGAUUCGGUCAGGUUUUUGGAUAAGGUUGAAGAUCCGGACAAGAUGGCGAGCCACCACCCAGGACCAAGACCUGCUUGAGAGCUACAGACGGACUGUCUGUGUAUGGUAUGAAUGUCAGUCACCCGACUGGUGCUGACUAGAACGAGUGAUUACGAGUGCACUCCAA